Molecule: long non-coding RNA, 418 nt
Filed under: Dromaius novaehollandiae (emu)
Lineage: Eukaryota; Metazoa; Chordata; Aves; Casuariiformes; Dromaiidae
Description: lncRNA (ENSDNVG00000006149.1)
Source: RNAcentral
GAAUUAAAAUUUAUCACUUUCUUGCACAGAAGCUGCUAAAGCUCUAACGAUGCCAUUGAGAUGAGCGUGCUCGUGGGAGCCGAGCGGAGGAGGUUACCUGAGCAGCUCUCGGAGACAGGACGGGCUCCGGAGCUGCAGAUAAUGGGAGCUCUCAGGGAUGCAGGUGAUGCCAGCAGAGCAGGCCUGUCAUAAUCCGUACCGAGACUUGGAACAGGGGAGUGCUGUUCUGGGGGGAAAGAGGAGAGAGAUUAACCUGAACAGAAGUGCAGUGCCAUCUAUCUUCAAGUUCCUACAAACAGCGAAGAGAAACCUGAUGGUCUGCUUGGGGGAUGAAAGAGCAGGGGACUCUGCCAGUGAGGAUGGGGAGCAGCCAUUUCUCCUUCAAGCUAGAAGAAAAGGCACUUGGGAAGUCUGCUAA